UAUGUGAUCGUCUCUCGCAUAUCAAUAAGCGGAGGAAAAGAAACUAACAAGGAUUCCCCUAGUAACGGCGAGUGAAGCGGGAAGAGCUCAAAUUUGAAAUCUUAAAGGGUUUCCCUUUACGAAUUGUAGUUUAAAGAAGUGUUUUCUGUUGAGGUUUAGGUAAAAGUUCUUUGGAAUAGGACAUCAUAGAGGGUGAGAAUCCCGUAUUUGACCUUUACUUUCAACUUUGUGAUACACUUUCAAAGAGUCGGAUUGUUUGGGAAUGCAGUCCAAAAUGGGUGGUAAAUUUCAUCUAAAGCUAAAUAUUGGCGAGAGACCGAUAGCGAACAAGUACCGUGAGGGAAAGAUGAGAAGAACUUUGAAAAGAGAGUUAAACAGUAGGUGAAAUUGUCAAAAGGGAAGCGUUUGACACCAGUGUUGUUUUUCUGAAAAUCAAUUAAAGAACUGUUUAUGCUAAGCUGUUUAGACUUUAUCAGCUAUCUGUUUAGUUUUGAGCUUUUCUUUAAUGCACUUUUCAGUUAACAAGUCAACAUCAAUUUCUUUUGCUGUAAAAAAGCUUGAGGAAGGUGGCUUGAGAUUCGUCUUAAGUGUUUAUAGCCUCUUGCCUAUGCAGUCGGAGAGAUUGAGGUCUGCAGCGUAGAUCCUUCGGGGCUAAAUGCAUUUGUGCUAAGUUAUAGCAUUUUAUAGACAACUUGUUGACUAUGAUUUGUCUUGUAGCUUACUCGCUUAUGUUAUUUUACCUACGCUUAGGAUGUUGAUAUCGCGCUCUCACUG
RNAcentral lists this ribosomal RNA (774 nucleotides) under uncultured Neocallimastigales. RNAcentral's name for it is "partial large subunit ribosomal RNA". It matches the Rfam family "Eukaryotic large subunit ribosomal RNA", at positions 24 to 645 of the family's 3401-position model. Lineage: Eukaryota; Fungi; Neocallimastigomycota; Neocallimastigomycetes; Neocallimastigales. The record is from RNAcentral.